This is a long non-coding RNA of Lynx canadensis (Canada lynx), 1662 nucleotides long. RefSeq lists it as uncharacterized. The record is from RefSeq and is a predicted model, not a curated record. NCBI's taxonomy places the organism in Eukaryota, Metazoa, Chordata, Mammalia, Carnivora, Felidae. The transcript has 3 exons.
UAGAGCGAUUGAAAUCAGCUGGCUGAACGUGGAACGCAUCCCGGAACGGCGAGCAAGUGCAGUUCUUGCCAGAAGCAGCUCCUGUGAGGAUCAGGGUGCAGAGCUGGGUCUUCAGCAUCCGACUUUUGUGAUGGGUUUAGGAUUUGAGGACCCCUCCAUCUCUCAGAAGAAAUGUCCGCCCCAGACGAAGGAGAUGUGAACGGUCCCACCCAGAACCCAACUUCAUCUUGACCCCUAUUCUGGGAGGUCUCCUGCUCCCUAUCUCUUCAUUUCUUCUCAUUGGACCCGGAAUCGAUUGCCUCCAUACACAGUUGCUUAUACCCAGCAUGCAGCACUGGAGCUGGCACAUAACAGGAGCCUGGUAAAUAUUUGCAGAGAAGUGAAUGAAAUGAAAAGCUACACUUACACAACGAGUACCUCCUGAUGUUGUUUCCUGGUGACAGGCAGCUUCUGUUCUGAGAAUACAAUGGACUUUGUCUCUUAUGGAUGAUUUAUUCUGUCAAUAAUUUGCCGGGGGAGGGCAGUAGCUCCUUGCUUCCAACUCUUGGUCUCCACAUUCCUCUUCUGUAAAUCAAUCCUUCCCCGAACUGUAGCGGAACCAAAUCCCAUGGAUUCUACCUGAGCUCUGCCUCUGGACCCCCACCCUUCCUUCUGCCGCGGCCUUUCGGGGUCUUUGUCACUUCUCGCCCGGAUUCCCACCCUAGAUUCCUAAUUGGGUUCCUUGGCAACAGUCUUGCCCAAUCCUGCCUCACCUCCCCCUCAGCUGCCAGAGAUGUCAUCAUCAAAAUAUUUGAAAAACGAAUUCUAGGGUUAAAGACCUCCCCUGCUCUCUCGAACCUAGAGAUAGGAUCAAGUGCAAACAUUUCGGCGUGAGGUUCAAUAAGCCUUCCAAUCUGCCCUGGGGUCCUUCUCCUAGCUCCUCUCCCAUAGGCCCCCCUUUCCCACCAUGCAGCCCCUGCCCAGCCACGGUACUGAAUGAAUGUGACUCCCCGGCUGCAAAGCCGUGACGUGAUGCGGGCCAUCUUCUUUGCCUGGCCUGCCUUGUCUCCCCUGCGGCAGCCAACAGUCUCCCUCCUGACUCGUUCUUGGGAAGCCUGCUCAGUCUCUGUUGUUCCUAUCUCUAUUAAAAUCUUCAUUUUAAUGUGUCUUAAGUCUGCAGUCGCAGCUGCUGCUCCUGCUGUUUUUCAGCGAGGAAGGCGCAUUGUUGGAAGACACGAAGGAAGGGAGGAGGAAAGGAAAAAAAUUGGAAGGGAAAGAAAUUGUCCCAUAGCUAGCACCCCAUCCCCGACUUACUUCCUCCUGCCCGCUAUUCCACUAAGUUACUCUGAAAGGCCUUUUGUGAGAAUGAUCUGUUGCGUUUUCCUGCCUGACGUCUCUUCCCUCUUCUUCCCUAUGGGAAAAGCUGCCCUGUCUGGUUUGAGUGGCUUGGGUCAUAGCCGCAUCCUUGGACCUCAUGCAUGGGAGAAUUGGGCUCAUGACCCAAAUGAUACCAUUCAAAAUCUUCCUUAAGGCUUUUUUUUUUUUUGCCAAAGAAACAUCCUCUCCUUCCUCUGAGGAUGCUAAGCUGGUAUGUGCUUCCAUUGAUCAUUAUGAUCUCCAGUAGAGAAAGCCUGUCUAAGAGAUCAGGAAUCCUGGGGCGCCUGGGUGGCGCAGUCGGUUAAG